This 889-nucleotide ribosomal RNA is filed under the name uncultured bacterium. RNAcentral's name for it is "bacterial SSU rRNA". It matches the Rfam family "Bacterial small subunit ribosomal RNA", at positions 505 to 1397 of the family's 1533-position model. The record is from RNAcentral.
GUGCCAGCAGCCGCGGUAAUACGGAGGAUGCAAGCGUUAUCCGGAUUUAUUGGGUUUAAAGGGUGCGUAGGCUGUGGGGAAAGUCAGGGGUGAAAGCCCGGCGCUUAACGCCGGAACUGCCUUUGAUACUUCUCCGCUGGAAUACGGAUGCCGUGGGAGGAAUGAGUAGUGUAGCGGUGAAAUGCAUAGAUAUUACUCAGAACACCGAUUGCGAAGGCAUCUCACGAAUCCGUCAUUGACGCUGAGGCACGAAAGCGUGGGGAUCAAACAGGAUUAGAUACCCUGGUAGUCCACGCAGUAAACGAUGAUAACUAACCGUCGGCGAUACACAGUCGGUGGCCAAGCGAAAGCGAUAAGUUAUCCACCUGGGGAGUACGUUCGCAAGAAUGAAACUCAAAGGAAUUGACGGGGGCCCGCACAAGCGGAGAAACAUGUGGUUUAAUUCGAUGAUACGCGAGGAACCUUACCCGGGCUCGAACGGCAAGUGAAGGAUCAAGAGAUUGUGACGCCCUUCGGGGCACUUGUCGAGGUGCUGCAUGGUUGUCGUCAGCUCGUGUCGUGAGAUGUUGGCUUAAGUGCCAUAACGAGCGCAACCCUUGUCGCCAGUUACCAGCAAGUCAAGUUGGGGACUCUGGCGAGACUGCCACCGCAAGGUGUGAGGAAGGCGGGGAUGACGUCAAAUCAGCACGGCCCUUACGUCCGGGGCGACACACGUGUUACAAUGGCGACUACAGAGGGAAGCCACCUGGUGACAGGGAGCAGAUCUCGAAAAGUCGUCUCAGUUCGGAUUGGAGUCUGCAACUCGACUCCAUGAAGCUGGAUUCGCUAGUAAUCGCGCAUCAGCCAUGGCGCGGUGAAUACGUUCCCGGGCCUUGUACACACCGCCCGU